Molecule: ribosomal RNA, 304 nt
Filed under: uncultured bacterium
Lineage: Bacteria
Description: bacterial SSU rRNA
Rfam family: Bacterial small subunit ribosomal RNA
Source: RNAcentral
GACGAACGCUGGCGGCGUGCCUAACACAUGCAAGUCGAACGGGUCCCGCAAGGGAUCGAGUGGCGAACGGGUGCGUAACACGUGAGGAACUUGCCUAUCGGCGGGGGAUAGCCGGCCCAACGGCCGGGUAAUACCGCGUACGACCUUUGGGGGGCAUCCCCUGGAGGUGAAAGCAGCAAUGCACCGAUAGAGAGCCUCGCGGCCUAUCAGCUAGUUGGUGAGGUCACGGCUCACCAAGGCGACGACGGUAGCUGGUCUGAGAGGAUGAUCAGCCACAUUGGGACUGAGACACGGCCCAGACUCC